UCUCAGGUGAGCCCAGUGGUGGGAAGCAGCCACCUGCCUUCCAGUGGCCCAAGGAUGGGAGCGAAGGUUUCUAAGCGCUAACCCUCCGCAGGCUGGUCCUUGCACAAUCUUAUCGUUGAUUCUCACCCCACACUAGCAAGACAAGAAUCAUCACCAUGUAAUCUGGAGCUCAGAAUGUCUAAAGCCACCCUGACAGUAAAUGGUAAAGCUGGGAUUUGAACCCGGAUUCUUCCCAACGCCAGGGCUUGCUUCAUGGUUAAAAAUGCAUUACCUCUCCACUGACUCCUCCAAGUAACGCUCAAGUCAUGUGUGUCAUUCUCCAGGAAUCUUUUAAAAAAGGACUAAAACAGUAACUGAUUGGGAGUCCUCAGCUGAACAAAGCAAACACAGUAACAGCUAAGCAGAGGCCAGUGUAAUUGGUGAACUUGCCCCCGAGGUGGGACCUGAGCCCGCCUCUGACAUUAGCUUUGGCUUUCACUGCGCCUCCGGGCUCUUGCACGUCUCUAAGAAGCUGUAGGGUAGCAUCCUGAAGGGGUACUUGUUGCUCCAUCAAGUCAUUCCAAAGUGGGCCCUGCCAGGCGUGGAAGCUGUUGCUAGCUCUUUAUUUUCUAUUUUAGGCAAAUUGCAGGCAACCCUUUUAUUGGCACAUCCUACAAGCUCCUCCGCCCCUUCUCAUUGUUCCAUCUGCCUCCUGAGGAGGGUACCAAUAAUUUUCACUGGAAAGACCUGCUUCAUGUUUCUUCAUCUGGAAAGAAAUUAAUUUUCUAAGUCACACAAUUAUAGACAACUUUUGAAAGAGUUACCGGAGUGACAGUUUUGUGCUUACCUUAGAUGUUAAACAGUACCCUUUUUAAAAAAAAAGAAAAAUUUGAAUAAAAUUAAAGAAAAUUUUUUUUUUCUUUUUCAUGAAAUAAUUUUUUUAAAA
Molecule: long non-coding RNA, 925 nt
Filed under: Marmota monax (woodchuck)
Lineage: Eukaryota; Metazoa; Chordata; Mammalia; Rodentia; Sciuridae
Source: RNAcentral